RNAcentral lists this transfer RNA (85 nucleotides) under Holospora curviuscula. Its description in RNAcentral is "tRNA-Ser". It matches the Rfam family "tRNA". From Rfam's summary of the family: Transfer RNA (tRNA) molecules are approximately 80 nucleotides in length. Their secondary structure includes four short double-helical elements and three loops (D, anti-codon, and T loops). The record is from RNAcentral. Lineage: Bacteria; Pseudomonadati; Pseudomonadota; Alphaproteobacteria; Holosporales; Holosporaceae.
GCCCAAGUGGCGAAAUGGUAGACGCGCUAGGUUCAGAUCCUAGUAAAGGUUACUUUAGUGGAAGUUCGAGUCUUCUCUUGGGCAC